UAGUAGAUUGCGACGGGUACGUCCUUGAUCUCUGAAGAAAGGCAGCACGUACACAAGGGGAAGAAACAGGAACAUGGGAUUGAAACCACAAUGAGAUCAGCCAUGAUCUAAGUGAGUGGCAGAGCACAUUUGCAAGGCUGAACAGCCUACUCCUGCUGUCCAACGACCCUUCCUCAGAACUGGAAUGAAUGAAUGGAUGAUGGACCCUAGGAUCCAGCGGAGCCACAGCUGUGGGAGAAACCGCAGCCGGCAGUUUCAAGAGGCAAGAGCAUGACAGAAAGCAAGAGAUGUCUGGAUUAAAGUGGUUUCAUUUCAACGCAAUAGGUCUGACAGCCAGGUCGCAGCCUCGUGGAUCCAGAGCCUCGGGUCGCAGCGGUCUUCGCGGCUGCCAAAAUCCACUGACCCCCGGGGACAAGCAGGAGCCCUACAAGGGCCGCGGCGCAGGUACCGGAGCUCUUACUGGGCCAUCAGGUAGAGGAGAGGAAGGUGCUUCCCUCACAUUCCCAGGUUUUACCAGAUGAGGAAGGACACCACUUUGAUUGGGACAACACAUCCAUCCUAGGACAAGCCAAACAGAGACACGCACGAGAAUUCCUAGAAGCAUGACAUUCCAACCGGAACUCCAUCAACAAACACAUUGAUUUGGAGCCAAUCUACUAUCCCCUGAGAAAAAGAACAGGAAAUGCCAUCACCAACACAGGAAAUGACAUCACCAACCCAAGGAAACCUAACCGGAUAAAAUAGAAAGCGGGACAUAACACCAGCGCUUCAUCGGAGGCUCACUGAUGAUGUUACCUAGAAUGGUGACGAAACGUCUGAAAACUAACCUUCCAGCUCAGCGAGCAAACUUACAUCCAGAACUUGUGUCCAUUUUCAAUCCAGUCCCAUUUUUCCUCUUGGGAACACUCACUCUGCAUUGUUUGCAGAUCAUGAUUUGUUGUCCCAGUGUCGAGGUGGCAGGCAUGUACUUGAGGCUCUUGGCAGGACUGAUUGGAAGCAGCUCUUUUGGCUGCCUGAUCUGCCAGGGCAUUGCCCUCAGCUUCCACGGUGCUGUUUUUGGUAUGUGCUUUACAUUUUAAUAUGGCCACUUUCCUGGGUAGCUGGAGAGCUUCCAGCAGGCCCUGACUUCAGGUCUGUUCCUGAUGGGGACCCUGUAGCAUUUAGGCGUGUGCGCUGCUUCCAUCGCUGGCCAAAGUUGAGGGCAACUCCAAAAGCAUAGCGGGGGUCUGUGUAGAUGUCAGCAGAUUGAAGCCUGCAAAGUAGCACAGGAUCAGAUAAGGCCCGUAACUCUGCUUACUGCGCUGCGGGGUAGGUUACCCAAUGCUAUGACAGUGAGGAGUGUUGAAACAGCCCAUCCAGCUUUCCUUAUACCCUUCUCCACAAACAAAGAUCAGUAUAAAGGACGAGAUCUGGGUUUUGUAGAGUUUCAUCCAUCAUUUGGCUAUUGUCUUCCAAUUCCUGCAUGAUGGCAGUGCGGUCAGGGCCAUUUUCCUCUUCUCAUGUCGGUAAAGGCGUGAGUGUGGCUGGGUUGACUGGACUUGCAUGAAUUACGUGUAGAUUCAGGCUUCCAGGACAGCUGUCGACUGGUUCCACUGAGCAGGAUUCACUUGUCAUACUCUGUUCAGAGAUAGCAAAGUGUGCACAGCAUGUGGACAUUUAGCCGUUAAUUUCUGCUCCAAUCCCAGAUUUGCAGCAACUUCUACUGCCAUACACGUAGCUUGUACUGAUCUGAAAACAGCUCCCCUGUCCAAGGCCUACAUUGUCCAAAUUCCCAGAGUAGUAUUCCACUGUGUUCCCCCAUGUCCCUGGGCCAAUACUGCUGUCAUAUAUCCCUUCUUCUCAUGCACAAACGUGAAGGAUUUUCCCUUAUUCGGCAUCCCUAAUGCUUGUACCAAACAGCGCUUUUUUCAGGUCUUGGAAGGCUUCUUCCUGUUCCCUUGUUAUUGCUGUCUGUUUGAGUCUUGUUUUCCCUUCAGGAUGCCUGUUAGGGGCUGAGCCAGUUGGGUGUGUGAGUCAACCCAGCACCGUUUGAAAUUACAUAGACCAUCAAAGGCUCUCAAUUGUGGAAUAGUUGUGGGUUGUUCAGCAGCUUGUGUGGCUAAGAGUUCAAUUCUAAGUGAUCUCCCUCUUCCUGUGGGAGAUUUUCUGCCCCAGGUAAACCACCUCUUUCAGGGCAAUCUGGGCCUUGUCAAUACCAACUUGGUGGCCUUUCUGCUGCAGGUGAUUUAGGAGAGCUUUAAGAUCUAAGAUCUGUCUUGUGUUGCUUUUCUGUUUCAGAAGCUGCCAGUAUGUCGUCCACAUACUGCAUGAUGACUGAUUCGGUUGGUAGCGUUUGACAGCAGUGAUUCUGUGAAGCCAUGUGAUACACAGUUGGGCUGUUGUGGAAUCCCUGUGGAGAUAGGUCCACGUCUAUUGUUGUUGCUAAAGAGUAAAGGCAAACCAUGACUGUUCUUCAGGUGCUCUGGGCACUGACCAGAAGCUGUUAUAGCCAUAUCUAUAACUGAAAACCACUUGCGUUCUGGUGUAAAGACACUAAAUAACGUAGAUGGGUCAGCUACCAGUGGGGCCUUUUGAUCAAAGCACUGGUUAACUUUUCCAUAGCCAAAGUCAGUCUUCAUUCCCCACGGGCCAUACUGGGCUGUUAGAGGUGCUGUGUACUUUUACAAGGACUCUCCUCUGUAUUGUUUCUUCCACUUUCUUUGAAUUAUUGAGGGGAUUCCUGUUAGUGACAUCAUGCUGAUGGGAUACUGUUCGAUGCAAGGCAGGGGGUAUCCCUGUAAAGCUCGCACGUUCCAUUUCUCGUAACUCACAAUAAAUCUUGUCUUUAGCCGAGAUGGGGCGGUCUUUUAAUUCUUCCCUGUGGAGUGUUCUGAUGGAAGAAUGAGGUGGCCUAUCAUUGAAAUGUAAGAACGGAUGUAAUCAAUGAAGGAUGUCCAUGUCGAACAGUGGCUGCGCUAAAGGCCCUCCCCAUACGCAGGUUAUCAAUUCUUGGGGGAAAAAAUGUGGUGUUUAUAGACUUGGGUUGUUGUUAAAAUUCAAUCCUGUCAGCUCCUGCUCCUUCAGCUGCCUUUACUGCCCUGUCUAGUGGGAGCUUGGCGUCAUACUUCCUGGGUAGGCAUGUCUGCUCCUGUAUCUAACAUGCAUGUGCCCUUUACCCAGCACUUAUUCAGCACUUAUUGGACCAGUGGCCCUUCCCCCCACCCCCCUCACAGAUAACAUUUUCCUGGGUGUCUGUCCUGGGUUUUUCCAGGGCUACUGGGUGUUUGUCCCACUGUCCUGUCUGUCGGACUCACACCUGAACCCCUGUAUCCCAAUCUAGCUGUUGGGCUCAGUCAACAGCUUAUAGUGUUUGGUUCCCCUUUGAUCCCAAUCUAUUUGUGAGUUUCAGCAUUUUGGCCAACUCCUGUUUACCUUUUCCUCAUAUUCAGGGGACUUCCUCAGAGACCUUUGACAAAGGUCACCUGUUGUCAAAUCGGUUUUAGGGGGACAAUAUACCUGUAGACACUGUUUUAUUGCUGUCCAGCCAGCUGACAGCUCCUGCUUAAAUUCCCAGAAGACGAGCACUGUCCCUUUUUGUCUGUCAAGAGUCCUUGUUCUCAAAUGGCGUUCUAAUGGCUACACACACAAGAUGAGAAGCAACUCAGCUGCCAAUUCACUGAUUCCAGACCCAGAAAAAUGUGAUUGACAUUUAACUGCCCACUGGAUAAUUAGGGGUGGGUAAUAAAUGCUCGCCUGGUCAGGCCAGGGUUCUGGGUAGACCACAUGGGAUGGAGACAAGGAGACAUUUCUUUACCCAAAAGAGUGGUAAACCUGUGGAAUUCAUUACCACAAGAAGUAGUUGAUGCCAAAACAUUGAAUGUAUUCAAGAGGUGACUAGAUACAGCACUUGGGGCUGAAUGAGAUCAAAGGUAAUGGGGAGAAAGCAGGAAUAGACUAUCCAGUUGGAUAAUCAACCAUGAUUGUGAUGAACAGCAGAGCAGACUAGAAGGACCGAAUGACUUCCGCCUAUCUUAUGAUUCCAUGACAUCUACAUCCCACGUAUGAGUUUUAAAGAUCCCAAAUGAAUGGCUACGUGAUCAAUUCUGCUUUACUGGCACCUGCAUCGUUGUUGCUCACUUCUCCUCUAUUCAGUCACUGGGACAUUAGACAGCAGGUACAACUGGGUCAUUGGUCAUCCAUUGGUGCUGGUGUUUUUGAAAGGUCAGGAGAUACAACUUCAAUAAACUAUACCGUCACAAUUUCCAGCAUUCUUACAGCUGAAAUAAUCACUGGGUAUUCAGUGAUAAAUCCUUCCAGACAUUUUGAUAGCCUUGCUGUGAUGACGAGAGUGAACAACACGCUUCUCUAUGUAGUGUUUUAAUUGUAUUUCUGUCCUUAAAAGUGUUGUCACACUGAUGCCUGAGAUGGGUCUCAGCAUCCAGUUCAGACAGAUUAGAGAGACUACUUUGCAUAAAGAUGGCAGAAAUGCCACUUUCCCCUGUACAUAGAAACAUACUCCACCAAGACCCUGGUGGCAUCACUGUGCCCAUUCUAUGCAGUAUAAGGCAGUCAGCUUCUCUAUGCUGUUCCUUUAGUUUGUUACCAGCUUAAAUCUGUCAAAGCGUAUUCGUGCAACGUGUUGCUGGCAAAUUCAAUACUUAGCAUUUGUUUGUAAUCUCCAAUUGUACUUGUGCUGCAUGACUUGUUAGGGGCCACGUCUGAGAUCAGACGAGAAUCAACCACCUUGCUGUGGAACACACAUUAGACCAGACAAAGUAAAAGUAAUAUCCCUAGAAGAGGGGUCAUUCAUAAACCAGAUUUUUUCUUCAUUAAAAAAAAGAGUUUUGAUUCAGGGCAUAACCAAUAAGAUGAGUUUUCAGUUUCCCUGUGCUUGUGACAAUAAAUAAAUGAAGCCAAU
Long non-coding RNA from Stegostoma tigrinum, 4897 nucleotides. RefSeq lists it as uncharacterized. The record is from RefSeq and is a predicted model, not a curated record. The transcript has 5 exons. NCBI's taxonomy places the organism in Eukaryota, Metazoa, Chordata, Chondrichthyes, Orectolobiformes, Stegostomatidae.